This 1283-nucleotide long non-coding RNA is filed under the name Heterocephalus glaber (naked mole-rat). RNAcentral describes it as "lncRNA (ENSHGLG00000038022.1)". Lineage: Eukaryota; Metazoa; Chordata; Mammalia; Rodentia; Bathyergidae. The record is from RNAcentral.
GUCUUGUGCUCUCUGAGUGUUUCCUCAUGCUUAAGUUUGAUAUUCUAAAAGACUGAGAACUCUGAUGAGCUUUAUUCUGCCAUGCUUGGAUUGGAUAUUUUGCUACCAUUAGUUUCUAAAUUUUUUUUCUUGUAGAAUGGUCAUCUGAAGAUUUUCUACCAAAGGGUCUAACCUGACUAUUGGCGGAGAAAGAGAAGAUCUAUUAUUUAUAUGUCAACCAUCAUUUAAAUGUUUUAUUUUCAGUAAGUCCUUUCUGGCUUCAUUGUUCAUAAUACAAGGAACCUCUGCUUGAAUCUCUCCAAAGAGAAGGGGAAGAGGAUGUUUGGCAGGGGAAGGGAAAGUUCUCUGAGCAGGAUAAAAUCUGCUUUAAUAAUUUAUUCUCACUGGAUGUGGUGUACACCUGUAAACCCAGCACUCGGCUGAGGCAGGAGGAUUGCUGAGAGUUCAAGCCUAGCCUGAACCACACUCCGAGACCUUAUCUAAAGCACAAAAACAAAUUCUAUUCUCUUUACCAACAACUGAUUCAAGAAUCAGGGGACCCAAUUUAGGACUUCACACAAAGACAAACUAGUUGAAGACUCUAGGAAAGGGCUUCCCAAAAAGGCUAUGGGGUUGAGGCCAGGACUGCCCUGGAGCUUCAAGCAGAAAGGCUUAACUACAGAAAAGGAGACAGCCCCGCUGGCAGCAAGGUUCAGCUCAACGUUCAGCCCAAUACUGAUGAUGUAGAGUUUGGAGACCAAAACUAGAAAGGUAACUGGACUAUGAAGACAGCCACUAGUUUGGCCUUGGCCCCUCAAGGUCAACAAAGAUGAAGGACACAAAGGAACCUUUCCUACAGGAUCCUACAUCUUUGAUUCAAAGCUAUAUGGCUACCAAGAUGACAAUGCCUGGCACCUAUCAAGGGCCUUCUUCAGCUGGAAGUAGCCAGAAUGGACUUUGCCCUUUGCCCCCUCACACAGUUAGGGGUACUUCUUCAGAGGGGGGAAUAUUGCAGAAAGGUAAGGUAAUUAGAUAUGUUGUGUGCAGUUAGACCAGCCCUCCAGGAGCCAACACAGCAAGGAGCCAACAUGGAGGACAAUCAAGACACAUUCACUGAAGGCCAGAAUUGUAAAAAAGAGAGAAACCACACACCCUUGUGCUUCCCCUGGGGAUAAAUAGCAGUGAUUGAUAUUCUAAAAAGGUAUCAAUCACUUGGGUGGGGGGUCAAGGUCUUAACCCAGCCUCUCCAGGAAAUAUACCUGACCUACCCUUACUGAAAAUCCUUGUAUGCUUGCUACGUGACU